GGCCGAGCGGGAGGCUGACCGACAGAGGAUGGCGAGCAUGUUCGCGUACAUUCAGAGUCUUGGCGCCGCGACGGGUCUACCUCCGCCACCUCCCUUCGUCACCCCACCUAGACCACCCACCGAUCCGUUUUCUACUUCAAAUCAGUCGGCGGCCUCCAAUGAUCCGUAUAUUUCUCCAAAUCAGACCAACCGGAACAACUGUCCACCUUCGGCAUAGAUGAUGGAGUUAUUUGCAUUUGAGACUUAGCUAGAUUGAAUGUACUUUGAUUGUCCAUUGUGUACUUUGUGACAUACUUGGCUACAGCGAAUGUGCCUACAAAGUUUGAGCCCCAUUGGAUUAAUUCUUGACAUCA
Long non-coding RNA from Panicum hallii, 353 nucleotides. RefSeq lists it as uncharacterized. The record is from RefSeq and is a predicted model, not a curated record. Lineage: Eukaryota; Viridiplantae; Streptophyta; Magnoliopsida; Poales; Poaceae. The transcript has 2 exons.